Molecule: long non-coding RNA, 2028 nt
Organism: Vespula pensylvanica (western yellowjacket)
Lineage: Eukaryota; Metazoa; Arthropoda; Insecta; Hymenoptera; Vespidae
Exons: 2
Source: RefSeq, a predicted model, not a curated record
UACUUCACCGCUCGAUAUUCCAUCCAUACGUGGCAAACCAAGGGAGAAAGAAAAUAAACGAGCUUAGCAAGCUUCCGUUUAAGUAGGUAGAUAGGCAGAAAGUUUAUGGCUAAUUUUGUCUAAUUUAUGGUAAGCCGUAGUCGCGGUUACGAUUGAAUAGGAUCUUGUCACGCAUUCGCUUCGACGAUAUUCCAACACCCCUUCUCACUCCUCUCACAAACCACCCACCUCCUCUUGCAGAAGCAGCACCGAUUAAAGGGAAAGAGAGUCCACCCAAUGUGCUCACGUUCAGAAUUUAGGGUUAACGAAAUUCGCUUUCCGACCUCGCUUUUACGAUCGUCUCUUCGUAAACUUGGAAGUAGUCUUAGUGCGAGGCCCGACCUCUCUGCGUUCCUUACCUUAAUAGGAUUAUUAAUUUGCAUUUUGAAAGAGAAGGUAGAAAAUCGUUUGGCAAAGUCAACGUUUUCAAGCCGCGACGAGUUCGUGGAGUGUGUCGAAAAAAGAAACAAAAGAAAAAAAAAAAAGAAAAGAAGAGAAAAGCAAACGAAAGAAAAAAGAAAGAAAGAAAGGGAGGACGCUGCGACGCUUAAACCUCUUUCACGAUAUAAGAUUCAUCCAUCUUCGAGUGAAAAACUUGCUCCGCGAUGUAUCGUACAACAUGUCGUCGCGGGUUUCCUAUUAAAAAGAAAAGAAAAAAGAGAAGAAGAGGAGGAGGAGGAGGAGGAGGAAGGAAAAAAAGAGGAAGAAGAAGAAAAAGAAAAAAAAAAGGAAGGAAGGAAGGAAGGAAGGAAGGAAAGACCGGGUCCGAAGGACGAAGUGGCGUGUCUCGUAGAUAGAGAGAACCGUAAAAACCGUUUCGAAGAUAAGAGUCGUUCGAGAAGAAAACUUUUCUUUUUCAUUACCCCGCUCGCGUAUAUCUCCGGAGUUUUACGUCGUUGGAAAAACAACUUUUACAUUUUAAGAAGUAGGUACGUUCGAAAUUGUACCGCUCCGAGCAUUUAACCGCUUUAAACGCAAAGAGAGAAAACCCGUUGCUGAUGCUGUUGAUGGUGGUGGUACUGUUGGUACUGUUGGUACUGGUACUACCUACUGCUGCUCUUCUUCUCGUUCACGAAAAUGACAAAUUCAUUCGAAAGGCUCCAUAAACGUUUUCCCUCUGCGCCUAUUCAGAGUGAGUAAGUGAGUGAGACAGAGAGAAAACGAGAGAGAGAGAGAGAGAGAGAGAGAGAGAGAGAGAGAGAAAGAGAGAGAGAGAGAGUAAUGCGAGUUACAAACUCGCCUUCGCGUUGUAACAGCCACUGAAAAGUUUCAUCACUCGUGCUUUGUCACAGUAUCACAGCCUUUGUGUCUAAACGAGGUUCUUCGUAUCGAAUUUACCGAGUACCAUUACUCUCUCUCUCUCUCUCUCUCUCUUUCUCUCUAUCUCUCUGUCUUUCUCUCGAACACGUAAUUCAAAACACUUCUAAUUCGGUCAGAACUUAAACUUCUUAACGCUCUCUUUCGUAUUACUAACGACGAAUUAACAUCGAUAUUAACAAUGUAUCCGACCUGCUUGGAUCAAACGUCUAUGUAAAAGUACGUAGAUAAUUACUUACUUUCUACGUGUACGUAGUCGAAGGAAGAUUCUAUUAAAAUGACGUGAACCAUAAGGGUGAAAGAAAAAAAGAAAGAGAAAGAGAGAUAGAGAGAGAGAGAGAGAAGUAAAGAGGAAACGAGUGCCUAUAAACAAGCGUGCAGCACGAAAGUACACAAAGGACUGACUGACUGACUCGUUUUUCUCGAGAUCUCGGUCGGUUAAUGUUUAUUUACUUUAAAAGACUCUCUUAUCCCAUGGCUCUCUGUAACGAUCGCUCGCGUAAACACUCGGCACGGUUAACGCGUAAAUUUUCGUAUCUACCUGGAAAAUAAAACUUCGAUAAACAUUACCCAGUUCGAACGACAGUUAUCUCUUGUAUCUAGUAAUGAAAGAAGGAAGAGAGAAAAAAAAAAGAAAAGUGAGAUAGACGGAUAGAUAGAUAGAUAGAAAAA